ACCCCAAUAUUUUUGGGGCACUCGGGAAGGCUACCUUAAUUGAGAACGUGUGGGUGAGUGAAAAUUUGGCUAUAUGCUGGAAUAACUCUAGUAUCCGACAGUACCAUUCCUGGUGAAAAUCUGUUCGGUGGAGUCAACCAGCAGGCAACCCUGGAGAAUAUCCAGGAAAGUCCUCAACGACUAUACGCCAGACUACAUUCAGUUUAGAUGAAUGUAGAAGAUAUAGUCUAAACUUUAUGGCGACAUAAAG
RNAcentral lists this non-coding RNA (250 nucleotides) under Candidatus Woesebacteria bacterium GW2011_GWE1_45_18. RNAcentral describes it as "self-splicing intron". It matches the Rfam family "Group I catalytic intron". From Rfam's summary of the family: Group I catalytic introns are large self-splicing ribozymes. They catalyse their own excision from mRNA, tRNA and rRNA precursors in a wide range of organisms. Lineage: Bacteria; Candidatus Woeseibacteriota. The record is from RNAcentral. RNAcentral also lists the same sequence under 1 other name.